GCCAAACAGCUAGCUUAAUCACCAAAUUAAUAAAACAACAUAAAUAAAAUAAAAUAAGUCUAGAUCUAUAAACUAAACCAUUUUUCCACCUUAGUACGGGCGACGGAAAGGGUAAACUUAAGCAAUAAAGAGAG
Molecule: ribosomal RNA, 134 nt
Filed under: Lefua echigonia
Lineage: Eukaryota; Metazoa; Chordata; Actinopteri; Cypriniformes; Nemacheilidae
Description: partial 16S ribosomal RNA
Source: RNAcentral